This is a long non-coding RNA of Sinocyclocheilus rhinocerous, 917 nucleotides long. RefSeq lists it as uncharacterized. The transcript is spliced from 3 exons. The record is from RefSeq and is a predicted model, not a curated record. NCBI's taxonomy places the organism in Eukaryota, Metazoa, Chordata, Actinopteri, Cypriniformes, Cyprinidae.
UCUGACGGCACCCAUUCACUGCAGAGGAACCAUUGUUCAAGAGCACUGAGUGCACACAGAAUAAAACUAUGAUGAAUUUAUGAGAGAAGCAAACCGAGACCUUCUGACAUCAAUAAAUUGGCCCUGUAUGAAGAUCUCCUGAUGGUAUAAAGAACAUAGGCCGCUUUUACAUGUCAGGAUCCACAUCGCCUAACCUGCACGCGUCAGUUCCUUACUCAAGAAGCCCUCAAGGACAGCAUCUCUUCAAUAUUCAAUGACUGCAGUGCAAUAACUUGUUUUGUUGGAAAUCUAUAUGAACGUGUAAUGGCUCUCAGUGGACGCCGCGAGAAUAUUAUUGUAGUGAGCCAGAAAUGAAGCUUUUUCUUUUUCACACCAACACAAAUUAUCCAAGACUGACUGCAGUGUUAAAAAAAAUCCAUGUUUCAGACUUUCAUUAAUAAAUCUAAAUCUCUUCAGUAAGUCAAUUUCUAUGUUGUUAAGCCACAUUUGGACUCCCCCCUUGGUAAUAGUGCCAUAUCCUGACUAUGUUAUGAUUCUAGUACACAUUGUGCUCUUUCCCACCUAUAUACCUCAUUACACAGCACCGCAGUGCUCUUAUAUCAGCCACCUUGAGAAAUUAAAACAGUUUAACAGAAUUUUAAAUGAAACCGCAAUGAUAUAAAUACUACAUUAUGGCUAAGGAAAUUCAAAUCGGACUGACAGGUGUCGCUCAUACCGAUACACUCAAUGUUACAUAAUUUAACUACAUUUGUUGCAAAAUAGACAGUGCGGAAAUUUCAACCCCUUUGAACUUGCUGGCUGGUCAUGGUUCAAUGGUGUUUGUAAUUGUGGUUUGAACAUCUAAGCAGUGAUGGUGCAUAUAAUAUAGGGAAAUUCUGUGCUUCAUGUGAGAAAUGGGAAAGGGGUUAAUUUCUUCA